RNAcentral lists this long non-coding RNA (1512 nucleotides) under Olea europaea (common olive). Its description in RNAcentral is "long non-coding RNA (OEUR_LNC004120)". Lineage: Eukaryota; Viridiplantae; Streptophyta; Magnoliopsida; Lamiales; Oleaceae. The record is from RNAcentral.
UCGGAGUUACUGAGGUCUCCACGGCACUGGAAGAGGCCGUAAACGACGUUGGAGUCCGGGAGAGAAAUCUUGAAAUUGUUGUAGUUUGAGAAGGCGGCUGAGUUAACUAGGGAUGCGAGGAUUGAGUUGACGUUUGACUCGUAAGGUGUCCCCGGGUUGUAUUUGAGCUGAGAACAACCCGCAUAUAUGAAAGAUUGUAAAGCAGAAGUUGAAGGGUGUGCAAGAAAUGAAAAAACCAGAAGAUAACUACAAAUAGAUAAUACAGAGAACAUUUGCUGAGCAUGCAUGUUCACUUUCGCCAGAAUUCUGUGUCUGUGUAUGAGAGAGAGAUGGGAUUAUAAUAAAACGUUACUUGUGUGUGUGUGUGUGUGUGCUGGGGCUACCCCGAGCUGUGGGGUGAUCGGAAUUUGCAGAUGCCUUGAGAAGAAAUUACGUAAGAAUCGAGGAUUGAGUUGACGUUUGACUCGUAAGGUGUCCCCGGGUUGUAUUUGAGCUGAGAACAACCCGCAUAUAUGAAAGAUUGUAGAGCAGAAGUUGAAGGGUGUGCAAGAAAUGAAAAAACCAGAAGAUAACUACAAAUAGAUAAUACAGAGAACAUUUGCUGAGCAUGCAUGUUCACUUUCGCCAGAAUUCUGUGUCUGUGUAUGAGAGAGAGAUGGGAAUAUUAUAAAACGUUGCUUGUGUGUGUGUGCUGGGGCUACCCCGAGUUGUGGGGUGGGGUGGUGUGGGGUGAUCGGAAUUUGCAGAUGCCUUGUGAAGAAAUUACGUAAGAAGGUGAGUGUAAUGGAUUGAUGUAUGAUGGUUCUCUAGCAUGUGCUACGAAGGUGAUGAAUGAUUACAUAUAAGUGUGAACUCCCAAUUAAAUUCCUUAUACAAAUUAAAUAUGUACCACUUAACAAAUGAUGAGGUGGAAAUAUUGUAUUAAUUGAUUUGAUUUUUAUUUUGUCCAACGUCUAAAAAAAUCUUGAGCAAGCAAUCUGUCAAAAUAAUUGUCAAACAUUUCUGUACAUGUAGCAUAUCUGAAUAAAGAAAAGUAAAAAGUUUCAGACUGAAAUUUUCAUUUUGGUUCGAUUGGACAUAUGAUCCAAUUCGAUUGCAUUUUCAUGAAGCCUAACUUGAAUUGCGUAACAUUGAAAAUUAAUCAAGAAACAGAGUAACCAAAAUCAUGUUUUUGGUUCGAUGUAAUCUUUAUCUUUGUAGUUCAAAAACAAUUAUGAAGUUUAUACACAAUUUAUACAUUUCACUUUCGUACUUUAUUAUUAUUAAUAUAACAAAGAAGAAUAUCAGUCUAGAUAAAUAUUAAUUCGUAUCAAUUUGUAUAUAAGAAAUGGUUAAUCAACAGGAUAUAUUUCACUAAAGUUCAUGUCAAACCUCUAUUAACCCUUAUCUUACUCGGCACGAAGGACUCGAAGAAGUCAAUCGGAAUUAACUUAAACUUCAAUGAAAAUCUGAGUGUAAUGGAUUGAUGUAUGAUGGUUCUCUAGCAUGUGCUACGAAGGUGAUGAAUGAUUA